Molecule: long non-coding RNA, 1521 nt
Filed under: Sus scrofa (pig)
Lineage: Eukaryota; Metazoa; Chordata; Mammalia; Artiodactyla; Suidae
Description: lncRNA (ENSSSCG00040073736.1)
Source: RNAcentral
GCCCUGAUGCAUGCCUCCUGGUAGCUGUGGAGGAUCACGAUGGCUACCACACUGAACUGGGAGGACGGAAACAAACAAAUACAGAUACAGAGAGAAACAAGAGUAAUAUCUGAAAAUACCAUCUAGCUACAGUGUUCAAGUAAGAGGAGAAACCAAGCAGGCUUUGGGCUACAGAGUAUAGAGACAAGAGAGAACAGGAAGAUGACAUCCAGGGAAGAAGCCAGAAAGCUCCCAGAGAAUGCAACAAAAAGCACCACUCUCAGGAUGUCGAGAUGCAAGACAUGGCCCCAGCUAUGAUGAUACCAGGACAUGCCAGAGGAGGGCAGGCGAGUCAUAGCCCGGGGCUUUAAAGUAAGCCUGUGGAGUUCCCAUUGUGGCUCAGAGGUAGCAAACAUGACUAGUAUCCAUGAGGACUCGGGUUUGAUCCCUGGCCUCGCUCAGCGGGUUAAGGGUCCAGUGUUGCUGGGAGAGCGUCAGUGUAGGUUGCAGAUGAGGCUUGGAUCCCAAAUUGCUGUGGCUGUGGCUGGCAGCUGCAGCUCCAAUUUGAUCCCUAGCCUGGGAAACUCCAUAUGCCAUAGGUGUAGCCCUAAAAAGACAAAAAAAAAAAAAAAAAAAAAGAAAGCCUAUGNAAAAUUGGGUUCAGAUGAAGGCCUCGUGUGUGAUUAAAUCAUGUCCUUAAAGUGUUUUCCUACUCUUAUCUGUUUCUCUAAUGGUCUCCCUUCCUGGAUUACACGUUCCUCAGGGACUGAGCCAUGCACAUUCUUUUUUUAGGGCUGCACCCUCAGCAUAUGGACAUUCCCAGGCUAGGGGUCUAAAACAAGCUGUAGCAGCCAGCCUACACCACAGUCACUGCACUGCCAGACCCAAACCGCAUCUUCGACCUACACCACAGCUCAGGGCAAUGCCAGAUCCUGAACGCACUGACCAAGGCUAGGGAUGGAACCCGCAACCUCAUGGUUCCCAGUUGGAUUGGUUUCCGCUGCGCCACGACAGGAACUCCGACACUUCAUUUUUAUAGUAUAUUUACCCUCUGCAAAAAUUCUUCAAAGCACAAAAUAAUAACAUGUAAGGGUGGGAUCUAGGUUAUACCAACAGCAAAGAAAACAUAAGGAAGGGGGAGAAGAUUAUUGCAGAGAAACCAGUUCUCACUGUUUCCAUUUAUGGAGAAGUGUAUGAUUUUUGCCAAGGAAUUACACACAGCAGACUGACUCCUUUUUUAGCUUCUAAAUCAAAGUUGGAGAGGGACAUGGUUUGGAACCACUUCAGCUGUGUUUUUUGAAGUUGCUCGGGGACCCUUAGGUGAAGGGCGGUGUGUAAAUCCAAAUAAAUAUUCUUGUUAUUUCAUUAUUGUUGUGAUGAGUUAUGCUGUCAGGAAUCCCGGUGUUGGAAUCAGGCUGGGAGCACAAGGGGGAUGCCGAAUCACCCAAAGAUUGUAUUUUACAGCUGUAAACACCCUGAAGAACUCCUGGCAGAGGAUCUUCAGCUGUAAAUUUACAACCUUCACAGGCAUCCAAGCUUUGU